CGAAAAGGUAAACACUUUGCAAAAGAGAUCGAAAAAAGAAUGAGUUGACAAUAAAGGUCUGUUUCUUUUAGUUUCUGAUAUGUUUUAGGAAAAAGAAACCAAGAAAGAAGCUUUCAGGAAUUAUUUAGAGUUCGGUGGAGUUAGGGGCUUUUAGGAAGUAUUUGUUAUUGAUUCUCUCACCAAAGAAUGACAAGUCUUCCUUCCUGUACUUUGUUUCUAACCAAUAUGUACCCAGAUUCAUUCAGCAAAAUCUAGGAGGUCUUUCAGUUUCUGAUUACGAGAAGCUUCAAGCUGAGAAGUCUAAUCUUCAAAUAAAGUAUAUGAGCUAUUUGCUAAACAUCAAGAAACGUUGAGAGAGGUAUAUCCAAAAGUAUUCAGACUUCAUGUGAAUUAUUCUUCUGCUUCUUGAUGGGAAGAAUUCUGUAAUCCACACUUUCAUCCCUGCAUUCAAUGAUUUAAAACCAACCAAUA
Brassica napus (rape) is the source of this 471-nucleotide long non-coding RNA. RefSeq lists it as uncharacterized. The transcript has 5 exons. The record is from RefSeq and is a predicted model, not a curated record. NCBI's taxonomy places the organism in Eukaryota, Viridiplantae, Streptophyta, Magnoliopsida, Brassicales, Brassicaceae.